GAUCAAUAUAGUUGGGGUGCAGAUACAGGCCUUCCCCUAGGGAAAACACUUGCAUCAGUAUUAGUGAGAGACCAAGUACACAUCUGAAGCAUUCCUGUGCUUUCUGUCCACUUGUCAGGUGAGUUGCCACGUAUGACUGUCCAUCAGCCAGGAGAUGAACCCCCACCCGUGAGGCAGUGACUCAAGGUGCAAGGGAGUCCGGCAAGAAGUGUGGCGCACCCGAGUUGCUGCCACUGCUUUUUGGAUCACCCAGCACGGUCUUCUGAAGUCUUCCUGAAAGCAUCCCUGGUGAUCUGUGAGCCCUUGGUCGUGUUGCCCGCCUUCUUCCUGUGGUCUUGCUGGAUGCUCAUUGUCCCUGUGAGCCGAGGCCCUGGAGGCUUCAGAUUUAGGUGAUGUUGCCACGUAUGACUGUCCAUCAGCCAGGAGAUGAACCCCCACCCGUGAGGCAGUGACUCAAGGUGCAAGGGAGUCCCGGCAGAAGUGUGGCGCACCCGAGUUGCUGCCACUGCUUUUUGGAUCACCCCAG
RNAcentral lists this long non-coding RNA (526 nucleotides) under Bos indicus x Bos taurus (hybrid cattle). Its description in RNAcentral is "lncRNA (ENSBIXG00005006024.1)". The record is from RNAcentral. Lineage: Eukaryota; Metazoa; Chordata; Mammalia; Artiodactyla; Bovidae.